GAUGAACGCUGGCGGUAUGCUUUACACAUGCAAGUCGUACGGGAAUUUUUAAUUCAAGUGGCGGACGGGUGAGUAACACGUAAGAAUUUACCUUUAGGAGGGGGAUAACAGCUAGAAAUGGUUGCUAAUACCCCAUAUGCUUUCGAGUGAAAUGGAUUUUUCCGCCUAGAGAGAAGCUUGCGGCUGAUUAGCUUGUUGGUGAGGUAAUGGCUUACCAAGGCGACGAUCAGUAUCUGGUUUGAGAGGACGAUCAGACACACUGGAACUGAGACACGGUCCAGACUCCUACGGGAGGCAGCAGUGGGGAAUUUUCCGCAAUGGGCGAAAGCCUGACGGAGCAAUACCGCGUGAGGGAUGACGGCCUAUGGGUUGUAAACCUCUUUUUUCAGGGAGGAAU
Molecule: ribosomal RNA, 397 nt
Filed under: uncultured bacterium
Lineage: Bacteria
Description: bacterial SSU rRNA
Rfam family: Bacterial small subunit ribosomal RNA
Source: RNAcentral